GUUUUUUAGGCAUGGAAAAAGAACCCCGGAAAAGUACGAAGUCUGUAUUGACGAUAUCAAUGCAGCUCAGUGGGAAAAAACUGGAUAUGGAAAACUAACGCCUGUAGAUAGGAAUAGAAGAGUCUCACAAACUUGGUUCUAUAUUAAGGAGUCGCUACCAAGGUUUCUUACCAGAUUCAUUUACACCUGAGGUUAUACAAACGCUAUCGACAAACCGAGAAAGGACCAAGCUUACCACGGUAGCAGUUCUGUCGGGAUUGUUUCCGUCAUCAUCUCUAUCCGAACAGUUAACGGACCUACUGAAUCGGAGUGACCUGUACGAAUACAUGGAACAAAAACAGGAUUUUAAACUCAGGAAUCCCAAAUUUUAUUGUUCGGCUAUUAAAAAUGAAUUAAAACGAAUAAGCAACCGGGGGAACUUUUUCUGGAACAGAGUGUGGUGCAGUUUGUGAAUUGGCGCAAUUGGAAAAGCUGAUGCAGCCGUACAUGCCAAUGAAUUACACGAAAGAAUGUGAAUCUAAUGUCUCCCUAGACUAGCGAUAAAUAAUUAAUGUGUUAGUAUCCCGUCAGGCCCAUGGCCAGAUGGGGCUGAUCCCCACCUAGAACGUGGUCUUUCCCCCACUUGAAAUUAUGGUUGAUGGUUACUUUCAAGUGAUACGCGGCUAUUAAUAUAAGUACUUACGCAAUUUACAACCUGUAAGAGGAUGCAAGAGAUAGAGGACCAGAUAUCGCGGUAUAUCGUCGUUCCUUCCGCAAUCUUUUCCCCACCCGAUCUAAAGUACUGAACCCACUGAAUCAACACUUGAGCAAUAUAUUUACAAGAUCAAACGAACUUACCUUAAGUGAUGUUCGAUCUUGAUUAUAUGAAGGUCUCGUUGUCCAAUGGUACCUAGGAUCAUCGCAAGAAAAUGAGACGCAGAAUCCAAUAGGUUGUUUGAGCAGUCACUAAAACAGCCAAACGAAAUCCCAGAACUAGGGGAAGUGAUGCAGUUUAUGCAGACGAUGUGUCAUUCGCUAGAAGUAAUGGCGUCAAGAAACUGUAAUCAGAUAGAUGAUACCAUCUCUAAGCCCAGUUGGAGGAACGCGUCAUCCAUAUCGUGCUACUAACUGCAUACAGCAGCAUCGCUUUUAAAACUGUCCAAAGUUUAGGGAGCUAUCUAUCAGUGAAAUAAGGGUAGUAAAAGAGAGGAAAUUAUGUUUUAGAUGUUUAAAACACAACUACGAGGAAAAAUGUUACUUAGCGCUAAAGUGUACACAAUUCGGUUAUCCACAUCACACUUUACUACACCGACCCACCAAAACCCUGCACCGUUUAUGCCGCAUACCUAUUUCAUCAGGAUCUGCAAAAACCGAAUUGAACCUAUGCACUACGUUCAUAUGGCGUAAACGUAGUCAAUGCUUGCGGACGUAAUUACUUUUGAACGCCGUUUUUACGCUUCUGUAGCAAUAAGGAACCGUCGUUACGGUAUUAAGGAUCCUCAAAUCCUUUAUAGUUUUGUAUUGUCGUCCGGCCGCCCGUGUGCGUUCUAACUCUUUUCAAAAGUGACCGAUUGUGUUGAAAUUUGGUGUACACUUUGGAGAUUAAGGACAGACGCUAUUGGUUUUCCGGAAGCUGGUUCAACGGCAAAAAAAGUUAUAGGACUUCAAGUGAAUCAGGAAGAGCCAUAGCUGCAGGCUCAAGAUAAUAGAAAUCAGCAGAUUUCAUUGCCAAGGUUAUGUAUCGAGUUCGGACUUUCGCUAGAUUAUUCCCUAUGACCUUUAGAUGUGUAACAAGUUAAUAUAACUCUUCUCUGUGAUACA
This is a long non-coding RNA of Photinus pyralis (common eastern firefly), 1800 nucleotides long. RefSeq lists it as uncharacterized. The transcript has 3 exons. The record is from RefSeq and is a predicted model, not a curated record. NCBI's taxonomy places the organism in Eukaryota, Metazoa, Arthropoda, Insecta, Coleoptera, Lampyridae.